Anolis carolinensis (green anole) is the source of this 1694-nucleotide long non-coding RNA. RefSeq lists it as uncharacterized. The record is from RefSeq and is a predicted model, not a curated record. The transcript is spliced from 3 exons. Lineage: Eukaryota; Metazoa; Chordata; Lepidosauria; Squamata; Anolidae.
CUGCUAGAGGUGUUGUGUUUGCUGGCCCUGGAAGAAAUGAGGCCAGAAGAGAGAAGAGUUCUAAUCUAAUCUCAGUUCUACACACACCAUCUUUUCAUUCUGGAUGCUCAACCUAUUCAGCUAUCUCUAACUAAGUUAGGGUUCAGCUGAUCAUAAUUGAGUUGGAUAGGAUUUUUCUCCCAACUUCCAAUUUAUUUUUCUUUUUGCCUCCCUUUCCUCCACUGAAGCUGAGGGACCUUGUAAAAGUGGGAUGGGGCAUAGUUUUAAGUAGAGGUCACUUUACAGGUAGGUGGUGAUGAACUUUAGUGAGCACCAGCAGGUAUCAUUUGUUGAUGGGUGGGUUGUCUAGAAUUUCAUCUUUAGGUCAUGGGACAGGGGUGGUAGUGAAAAAGAUUUCCCCUGGGUAGGGGCAGAGAAACACCUUCCUUUUAAGGCAUGUGUUUUGAACAUGUGGGUUGCUUGGGAAACUUUUUGGGCAUAUGGAAAGUCAUUACAUUUGAGUUACUGCCAAGGCUCAAGUGCCUCACUCAGCUGAGUUUGAGGCCAGAGCCAGAUGAAUAUUCCAUGCCUCAAUUAAUUCAAUAAUUAUUUCUCCCUCUUGUGGUUCACUAUUUUUUAAAUAAACCAAAAUAUUCAAUAAAAACACAAAAUCAAGCAGGCAUUUUAGAUAUACAGAACUACUAAAACUACACAAAUACAUUCUGUACAAUUAACCUUCAACUUAACAAUCUUGUUUAAAAAAUUGCAAACUUCCCACUCUCUGUCUGAUACUUGCUGUUUUUCAUUAGUCUAUUCCCUUUGAACAAUCAUGUAAUCACAUCUUUUUUGAGAAAACAUUUGACUAAUUCAUGGAUCCCUCAUUUGGUAAAUGCAACCCCCCUUCUAUUGCUCUUGUGAAAAGUGAUGUGCAGGCCCCAAUCAUUAUUAAUAUUAGUCAAAUAUUUUUCCUUAAUUAUCAUAGUCAAUUUGUCAUUUUUUGUUAUUUCAUAGAUCUUCAUCAGACAUUUUCUUGGAUUGGAAUAGCUGGUUCCUGACAAUUAUGCUGAAAAAUAAAAUACAGCCAAGAUUAAAUGCCUGCUUUACAGAGAGCUAUGCUGACAUGGCCAAAGAUGUUCCAGUCCAUUCAGUGGAUCUUCCAAUAUGAUUAUUACACCAUCUGAAAAUUUCUUCCAAAAUUAUUUUGUUUUUAACAGCAAUGUUCAAUUUUACAUUGGUGAGGGCCUUCUCAACAUGCAAGAAUAUCAAAGCACCUUUAAUUUAAUUGUAAUAAUUCAAGUAUUCUAACACAUCUGUAACUAUUCUGAUAUUAUCCCAUACCUGUGCCUUUGGCAGAAAAUACUUUUGAUUCUCGUGUAUACAGUAUAUUCUUGAAAGUAUAUCUUUAAUCCAUUUGUUGGUAUGAAUGUGAAAAUCUUAUAAUCCUCAUUCAUAAUGACAUGUAUCUGUAAUUUUUGAAAAUCAUAAGAUUUCAAUAUUUUUGAUAUGAUUGUAAUAUUUCUAGGAAGUUAUGGUUUUGGAGAAUAUCAGUCUUGAGAGAUUUGUAAUAACCAUUCUUGAAAAAUUGUGUCAAUUGUGCAUUUUUUCAAUAAAAUCACAAGAGUUACUGCUUUAUUGCAUGAUUUUUUAAAAAAUCCAGUAGCACCCCAUUGAUAUUGUAAUGUCUUUGUGAUUACUUAACCAAUCCUUUUGUGCCU